AUACGGAGGGGGUUAGCGUUGUUCGGAAUUACUGGGCGUAAAGCGCGUGUAGGCGGAUUGGUAAGUUAGAGGUGAAAUCCCGGGGCUCAACCCCGGAACUGCCUUUAAUACUGCCAGUCUUGAGUUCGAGAGAGGUGAGUGGAAUUCCUAGUGUAGAGGUGAAAUUCGUAGAUAUUAGGAGGAACACCAGUGGCGAAGGCGGUUCACUGGCUCGAUACUGACGCUGAGGUGCGAAAGCGUGGGGAGCAAACAGGAUUAGAUACCCCAGUAGUCC
RNAcentral lists this ribosomal RNA (274 nucleotides) under uncultured bacterium. RNAcentral's name for it is "partial 16S ribosomal RNA". It matches the Rfam family "Bacterial small subunit ribosomal RNA", at positions 523 to 796 of the family's 1533-position model. The record is from RNAcentral.